ACAAUGGAGAGUUUGAUCCUGGCUCAGGAUGAACGCUAGCGGCAGGCCUAAUACAUGCAAGUCGAACGGUAAGGUCCCUUCGGGGACUACGAGUGGCGGACGGGUGCGUAACACGUAUGCAACCUACCCUAAAGAGGGGGAAAGUCAGUGGAAACGCUGAAUAAUCCCGCAUGUUAUCAACUAUUCGCAUGUUUGGUUGAUAAAAACUUUGGUGCUUUAGGAUGGGCAUGCGUCCCAUUAGUUAGUUGG
RNAcentral lists this ribosomal RNA (249 nucleotides) under Cyclobacteriaceae bacterium. RNAcentral's name for it is "partial 16S ribosomal RNA". It matches the Rfam family "Bacterial small subunit ribosomal RNA", at positions 1 to 252 of the family's 1533-position model. The record is from RNAcentral. Lineage: Bacteria; Pseudomonadati; Bacteroidota; Cytophagia; Cytophagales; Cyclobacteriaceae.